CCAGUACUCCACCUUCGGCUUCCUUAUCGCGUAAAUGGCGCCGCGCCGGGCGGAUCUCCGUCGCCCGCGCGUACUUACCGGUCGUGCGCUGACCGAAGCCACGCGUGCCUGUGAUAUAUGCCUCCUUGGGUCGUCCUUGCCCAGCCUGUACCUCGGAGGUUAGCUGCACGCUGAGACUAAUUUACCCGAAGCCGCAUGAAGAGAGAGGAGAGCAUCGCCGCCGCGUCGAGCAUGUGGCAACCGGUGUCUGGGUCGCAGGGCAGAGGGGCGUUGGUGUCCGCUGGUGCCAAGGGUCAUCCGCGUGCAAGCAGCUGGUCGCACGCGUCCUCGAAUUUCCGGAGGUUCUUCGCCGAAGCACCCUGCGCGCCUGCUUCGCGGUCCGACGUGGUCGGCCUAUUUGGGCACCCAAUUGACCGGAGAAGAACAGGUAGCCCAGGAGGAGCCGCACAACGAGGAGUUCGACUUGAUCUAGGUGGCGUCUCCUAGUCGACUUUGUGGCGCCAAGGAUGGACUUUAGUUCGCUUUAUAUUUAUCUUUUAUUUUGCAAGACUUAAGCUAUGUAAUAAAUACUUUUAUGAUAUUAUGACAUUUAUCUCUAUA
Molecule: long non-coding RNA, 600 nt
Organism: Zea mays
Lineage: Eukaryota; Viridiplantae; Streptophyta; Magnoliopsida; Poales; Poaceae
Exons: 2
Source: RefSeq, a predicted model, not a curated record